GUCACGCGCCUCCGUCACGUGCGGGAGGACGGAGGGGGGCGGGGGCAAGCGUUUCGCCGCCGCGCGAGGAAACGAGAGCGGCGCGGGGCGGGGGCAGCGCGCAGCGGCUCAUCCGGGCACCUGCUCUCUGCGGCGCAGGCGCGGUAGCGCGCGGCGGGGCCGGCGGAGCGGGGCGCAGGGCGCAGGGAAGGGCACCGGCAGGGCUAAGACUCGGCCCGGUUUGGCUGGCGGUGGCGGUCUCUGCAGUGCCGGUCCCGCGAGGACCGCGCCGCCUUCUUCGGGAGCGGCCGGACACCGCCGCUACACCGCCGCCGGGGGGGGGUGUUGCGCAUGCGCGGGGCCCGGCCGCUCGGCGGCGACGAGGCCUCGUUGCGGCCUGUGAGCGCGGCCGCGGGCGUUGGGAGGCCGCUGCGCUCCGUGCCGCGCUGCUCGCUGCCGAGAAGCCGGUGGGGGAGCCGGGAGGGGCUUUUCCGCGGUUCCUAGGCCUGUGCCUGGCUCCCGGUUGUGCUGCCUCUGUGCGUCCAGGGUUUCCCUAACACCCCCCCCCCCGCCCCCUACAGAUGGCAUGGAGCAAAGGUCAGCAGUGCGUGUGCUCGGCCAGACCUGUGGCCUCCCCCUGCUUCUCUGUGGCCCUGUGUUAUUGCAGCUGCAGCUCCUUGGACAUAAGGAGUGUGAUUCUCCUGGCUUACUGUUAUAGGCUGUAGGUGCAGCAGGAGUCCUAAGAUGGCAGCUGUCAGCUGAAAGCAUAAACUUUGUGAAAGUCUUCCUCUUUGGGACAAGGCUGAGCUGUUUGUUCAUGAGGGAAUGACUUCAAAUUUCCAAUCUGAACACUAGCUGCUGUGAGAGACAGCAUGGCACUUGGGAUUGUGUGCAUAUGAUAGAUAUUCUGGUUUGCAUCUUUAUUUUUGGCAGUGUUGAACACAAAUACUUUCAAGUUGUUUAACUGAUGAUUAAAACCACGCAAAAUUCAGUACCAAACUGUCUAGGAGGUCAAAAGGAAUACCACAUGCUGUUGCUCUUUGGGAGGAGUCUGUCCCAGCUUGUGCUUAAUGAUAUGCAUAAUCUGGAAGUUUCUGUAGUAUGUAAAAGAUGCCAAAAUACAUUCACAACUUCUUUUCAUGUUCUCAAAGAAAGGAAGAUGCUGUGAGAUGUGCUGGGACACUGACUCCACCAAAGGAUCAUGUGAAAAACUACUACUGAGUUGUCAAGUGGUGGACUGUAUAAGCUUUCUACUGUUUUUACAGUAAAGUGUUCUUUAAACCAAUGUGAGAAGAACAGUAGCUGAAAAAUGCCAGGAUAGAAUUAAGUCUGCAUAUUUUUAAAAGUGAGGGUAAUCUUUCAAAGUGUUUUGGCAAUUUCUUCAUUUUAAUGGGUAUCUCAGUAUUCAAAGUGAUUAUUUGUCCUAAAAGAGUUGUGCUUUAACUACAGCAUCUCUUAGAUUAGAAGCUGAAAUUUAAUAUAGGAAGUCUUCUGGCUGACAUGAGCAUUUUUUAGAGUGAGCUCAACAGAGAAUCCUUGUCAGUGAUAUAUUUAUUUUGAGUAAUCAUGUCCAAUUGAGGUUGGGAAAUCAUUUAGUAGGAACCUACAACUAGAUUGGCUGACUUUUCAUCCUAUAAUUGUAGGUAGGCAUGUAAUAGGUAGUCGGCUUAGAAAGUGCAACAAAGUAUCCAUUCUGCUCACUGUAACUAAGAAAAUGCUAAGAAUAGAAGAGUAUCUAUCAGUGAAAAGAAUCUAAUUGGUCCUACAACAGGAGAGGAAGAGGGGAGGAAAAGCUUAGUGAUCCCUUCAGGCCUGCCCCAGAAAAAACGUCUUGAUGGAGAUCUGGUGACUAAUUCAACCUUGAGGCUGUGAGCCAGACAAAUUAAGCAUGUGCCCCAAAGUUUUCUCAGUGUUACCAGGAGGAUCAGUGUCUCCUGCUGACAUCCUGUCCUACAGUGUGCAGUGCGUCCCAGGAAGGUGGCGUGACUUGGAUGCUGUUUGGGUUUCUUUAUGUGCUAAGGGGGAAAUAUAUCUUCUGUGUUCUAUGAUGCUGGGUUUAGGUCCUCAGAGAAUAUCCUGACAGAAGAUAAAAGACGUUUUUGUACUGUGGUGAUAAUUAAAAUACAAAAAUUAUUGGAUGCUGUUUGUAGAUAAGAUGAAGCCUAAGAGAAAUGACGAAGAUAAAAACAGUAGAAUCUUUCAGUAUUUUAAUUAAUUUUCUGGAAAUAUAUAAAAAAAGCAUUCGCUGAUGAGAGUUUGUGGACAAUUCAGUGAUUGUUGAAAAGGAACAAGAAAUACAUAGGCCGUAUCUUCAGGAAUGAAGUGACAGAAGAGGAUUGAGGAAGCAUGUAAUGUGCAGAUAUCUUCAAAGGCAACUAAGUAGCAAAAGAAGAAAAUGUCCCUGAUUGUAUAGACAGAGGAGCAAGAAUAAGGAAGUUACUUUACUUCUAUAAAGGGUAUUGGUGAGAAUAAAUACUGAAAUACUGUAUAUGGUUCUUGAGUCUGGAGUUUUCUGCAGUCUGCCAAUUUCUAAGAAGAGCCACCAGUGUUAUUCAAUGGCUAGAGAAAAUGUCUUUCAGUGAAAGACUAAAGUAUCAAAUCUGAUUAGCUGGUAGGAGGACAUUGAGAGGUGACUUGAUUAUAACAUAUAUAUACUUUGAGAGGGAAAUAGUAUGAAGUACUUAAAACAUGAAAGCAUAAUAAGGCCCAGUGACUGAAAGCUAAAGCAACACAGCAUAAUUUUAGAAAAUGCCAUAGAGAUGUUUGUUUAACAGGAGAAAGAAAAGGCAAGUCAGUUAGUUCUUAUCUUAGUGAAACCUACUUGCCAUUAACAUUGAGGCUCUCAGCUAGGUUUUCUAAUAGGAAGCUGUUGGAUAAAUGUUAUAUUUACUUUGGGAACAGCUAGGGAAAAUUAUUGUAACUAGAGACUUCCUUGCAAUGCCUAUGCUGUCUGUUAGGUAGCAAUUAGUGUGGUGGUAGCAUAGAUAGUCUGUAAAGAAUGGCAUCAGACAUUUGGGGAAAUUUUGUUGGGAAGAUAAUGUUUUUAUUAACCAGCUGAUGUAUAGUUUGAUAGGCUUUUGGGCUUAUAGCAAAGGGUCUGUCUUUUAUACAUAGUAAUUUAUAGCUGGAAGAGACAUUGUUGCUUCCUGCAACUGUGGUUUCAUUGUCCAGUAGGUGGUAGCAGUGCUGCGUAAAAUGUCUGUAUCGUUAAAUGUAUUUGAAUAGCAACACAAUAAACUAUUUUGGAAGACCAGAA
Molecule: long non-coding RNA, 3235 nt
Organism: Dromaius novaehollandiae (emu)
Lineage: Eukaryota; Metazoa; Chordata; Aves; Casuariiformes; Dromaiidae
Exons: 2
Source: RefSeq, a predicted model, not a curated record